GACAGAGGGUGCAAACGUUGUUCGGAUUUACUGGGCGUAAAGCGCGUGUAGGCGGCUUGGCAAGUCGGAUGUGAAAGCCCACGGCUCAACCGUGGAAGCGCAUCCGAAACGGCCUCGCUCGAGUCUCGGAGAGGAAGGUGGAAUGCUUGGUGUAGAGGUGAAAUUCGUAGAUAUCAAGCAGAACACCUGCGGCGAAGGCGGCCUUCUGGACGAUGACUGACGCUGAGGAGCGAAAGCGUGGGGAGCGAACAGG
RNAcentral lists this ribosomal RNA (253 nucleotides) under uncultured bacterium. RNAcentral describes it as "partial 16S ribosomal RNA". It matches the Rfam family "Bacterial small subunit ribosomal RNA", at positions 524 to 776 of the family's 1533-position model. The record is from RNAcentral.